This 304-nucleotide ribosomal RNA is filed under the name uncultured rumen bacterium. RNAcentral describes it as "bacterial SSU rRNA". It matches the Rfam family "Bacterial small subunit ribosomal RNA", at positions 149 to 444 of the family's 1533-position model. The record is from RNAcentral.
UCUGGAAACGGAUGGUAAUACCGGAUGUGGCGCCUGGCGGCAUCGCCGGAGCGUCAAAGGGGGCCCGCAAGGGCUCUCGCCUGGGGAGGGGCUCGCGCACCAUCAGCUUGUUGGCGGGGUAACGGCCCACCAAGGCUUACGGUUAGCUGGUCUGAGAGGAUGACCAGCCCCACUGGGACUGAGACACUGCCCAGACUCCUACGGGAGGCUGCAGUCGAGGAUCAUUUGCAAUGGACGGAAGUCUGACGAUGCGACGCUGCGUGGAGGAUGAAGGCCUUCGGGUUGUAAACUCCUGUCUUAAAGG